This 325-nucleotide ribosomal RNA is filed under the name uncultured eukaryote. RNAcentral's name for it is "partial 18S ribosomal RNA". It matches the Rfam family "Eukaryotic small subunit ribosomal RNA", at positions 1470 to 1796 of the family's 1831-position model. The record is from RNAcentral.
CCCUUAGAUGUUCUGGGCCGCACGCGCGCUACACUGAUGCAUUCAACGAGCCUAUCCUUGACCGGCAGGUCCGGGUAAUCUUUGAAUCUGCAUCGUGACGGGGAUAGAUUAUUGCAAUUAUUAAUCUUCAACGAGGAAUGCCUAGUAGGCGCAAGUCAUCAGCUUGCGUCGAUUACGUCCCUGCCCUUUGUACACACCGCCCGUCGCUCCUAUCGAUUGGGUGUGCUGGUGAAAUGUUCGGAUCGGCCGUUUGUCGCGGUUUCCGCGUCAUGUGGCUGAGAAGUUCAUUAAACCCUCCCACCUAGAGGAAGGAGAAGUCGUAACA